AUGAAGCUCCUAUGUUGGAACAUUAGGGGCUUCGGCCUCACUGGCCGGUGGAGACAACUCAUCGAGUAUUUGCGACAAGAGGAGAUUGACAUCGUGGGCCUUCAGGACACGAUACGCCAGGACUUUAGUAUGCUUGAGCUCCAGGGGCUCUCUCGCCACCAGUUUGCCUGGCAGUAG
RNAcentral lists this ribosomal RNA (177 nucleotides) under Triticum aestivum (bread wheat). Its description in RNAcentral is "partial small subunit ribosomal RNA". Lineage: Eukaryota; Viridiplantae; Streptophyta; Magnoliopsida; Poales; Poaceae. The record is from RNAcentral.